AUUGAACGCUGGCGGCAUGCCUUACACAUGCAAGUCGAACGGUAACAGGUCUUCGGAUGCUGACGAGUGGCGAACGGGUGAGUAAUACAUCGGAACGUGCCCGAUCAUGGGGGAUAACGGAGCGAAAGCUUUGCUAAUACCGCAUACGAUCUACGGAUGAAAGCAGGGGACCGCAAGGCCUUGCGCGGACGGAGCGGCCGAUGGCAGAUUAGGUAGUUGGUGGGAUAAAAGCUUACCAAGCCGACGAUCUGUAGCUGGUCUGAGAGGACGACCAGCCACACUGGGACUGAGACACGGACCAGACUCCUACGGGAGGCAGCAGUGGGGAAUUUUGGACAAUGGGCGAAAGCCUGAUCCAGCCAUGCCGCGUGCAGGAUGAAGGCCUUCGGGUUGUAAACUGCUUUUGUACGGAACGAAAAGACUCUUUCUAAUAAAGAGGGUCCAUGACGGUACCGUAAGAAUAAGCACCGGCUAACUACGUG
RNAcentral lists this ribosomal RNA (482 nucleotides) under uncultured bacterium. RNAcentral's name for it is "partial 16S ribosomal RNA". It matches the Rfam family "Bacterial small subunit ribosomal RNA", at positions 30 to 507 of the family's 1533-position model. The record is from RNAcentral.